RNAcentral lists this ribosomal RNA (253 nucleotides) under uncultured bacterium. RNAcentral describes it as "partial 16S ribosomal RNA". It matches the Rfam family "Bacterial small subunit ribosomal RNA", at positions 524 to 776 of the family's 1533-position model. The record is from RNAcentral.
UACGUAGGGGGCAAGCGUUGUCCGGAAUCAUUGGGCGUAAAGAGCGUGUAGGCGGCUUGGUAAGUCCGCUGUGAAAGUCCAGGGCUCAACCCUGGAAAGCCGGUGGAAACUGUCGGGCUAGAGUCCGGAAGAGGCGAGUGGAAUUCCUGGUGUAGCGGUGAAAUGCGCAGAUAUCAGGAGGAACACCAAUGGCGAAGGCAGCUCGCUGGGACGGUACUGACGCUGAGACGCGAAAGCGUGGGGAGCAAACAGG